ACUCUUUCUCUCUCUCUCUUGUUUUUCAUCUGCGACGAUCGACCUUCGCAAUCGACUCUCUCUCUCCGACAACUCUGAGUACAGUUUGAAUGGAGGAUACUAUUGAAUCUCUCGCAAUGAAUCUUUUACCUCCGGAAUCCUCUAAUUCUCAAAUGAAUUCCCCCUUGGAACUUGGAUGUGAUUCAUGAUGACAGAGUUUGAGAUAGUGUUGCUUGGAUGAAUGUUUUUAUUUUAUUGAACAACAAUUUUAUUUUAUUUUGUUCUUGCAUUUUGGAUGAAUGUAAUAGUUAAUGAAACAACAAUUUUAUUUUUAUUUUUUUCAUUUUAUUAUUACAUUUUAGAUGAACGUAAUAGUUAAUGAAGAAUUACUUUUAGGUAAGCUUAGAAAUUUGAAUGAUUUUAUUUUAAUUUUGUAUUAUUGGGUAGUAGUAGAUGGAGAAUGUUGAGAAAGUAGUUGUAGAAUGAGAUUGAUGAUUUAGUUAGGAUUUUGAAUGAUUUUAUUUUAAUUGUAUUGUUGGGUAGUA
Non-coding RNA from Camellia sinensis, 524 nucleotides. The record is from RefSeq and is a predicted model, not a curated record. Lineage: Eukaryota; Viridiplantae; Streptophyta; Magnoliopsida; Ericales; Theaceae.